Phyllostomus hastatus (greater spear-nosed bat) is the source of this 2312-nucleotide long non-coding RNA. RefSeq lists it as uncharacterized. The record is from RefSeq and is a predicted model, not a curated record. NCBI's taxonomy places the organism in Eukaryota, Metazoa, Chordata, Mammalia, Chiroptera, Phyllostomidae. The transcript is spliced from 2 exons.
UCCUCAUUCAUAUGGACAUUAUUAAAUACUUACUAUCUGUGAUGUUAGGGGCCUCAAUGCAGAGUCAUGAGAAGACACCAUCUUGCCUGAAGGAGCUCAUCUUAACUUAUUUGAUCCAGCGACAUUUGAUUAGCCAAGAACUAUAAGUUAUGCACAAUUAUAUUUGUCCUGUGGAGACAGACUGGAAUUUAUUUCUCCAGUGUAAAGCAUCGCUUAAUGGAAUGCAAGUUAUCCUUGUGCAAGGACGUGUCAGAUUUCUUGCGAAGGUGUCUCAGCACCAGUAGCCCUGGACGUGAUUUGGAAGAGCCCUAUGGACUCAGUGCCAACGCACCGAAGUUGGGAGACGUGAGCCUGAGCAAAUCAUGGUAAAAAUUAUUAAACCACAGUAACCACAGGUGAUUACUUCCUUUCUUUGGGUGGAGAAAGGGCUCUCCAGGCUCUCCCAAGCCUGCUCUCAUAGCCAUUCAGACCUGGCUCUGAAAAUCCAAAUGCUGAAAAGAACCACAUUUGAGGGGAUAAAUGGGGAAAAGUAGAGCCUGGACUAGGGUGCAGCAAAGGAGAUGGUGAAGGUACAAAAUUUAAGGAGGCGCUCAUUCACAAGGUUGCACCUCCUUAAAUAUUGCAUCUUUGGUCUCUUCCUUGCCGCACCCUAGUCCCAGCCCUGGGGACGAGGCAUAAUCUAAAUCUAGAAUAAAAGAAGUUUGUAUUUCUUCAAAUCUUCCUACUCUUUCAAGGAAAGUUCUUUUACCAUUUAGGUUGGUGAUUCUAUAAGUGAAAUUGGCCUCAAGAACACAGUGCUCCUUGCAGUGGGCUUUUCAUCAUCACAUAAGAAACUACGGAGAACUUUCCAUUUUCUUUUGUUCAGAAGGCUUCCAACUGUAUACUGUUUAGUGUGGCUUUGACACCCACUUCAACAUCUCUCUCUCAAAAGAGAGAAUCAUUUUAGGGUUAAAGGAAGCAUGGGGAGAUUUGGGCUUUCUGAGGCUGGAAUGGCUCCUCCUCAGGAAAACAGCAUCAUCAUAGCUAAUGUCCAUUCCUUCUUCUGUCAUUGCACUUUGACCCCAUAACUCCACGGGAGCUGUAUUGUUCUCAUCAUCUGUUUUUUAUAGAAGAAGCAGAAGCUCAAAGAGGUUUGGGGCUUGACCACAGCACACAGUGGUGGAGCCUGGAUUUAGCCCUAUCACUUUUUCUCCGUUAACUCCAAAUUAAAAGAAUAUAGGACCCAAAGGAAGUUGAGGAUUCUGGCUGCUGGACACUGCCUAAAAGUGCAAGGCAAUGAAAAGGCAACCAGGAGCAGCGGCUGCUGCAGGGUCGAGGUGGGGCGGCUGCUGGACCGACACUGGGGCCUGGAAGGCAGCUCCGCAUGCAGCACAGCGGAAGCCGGCCAACGGCACUGAGCACUCACUAGCCGAGGCAGGGAGUCCAGAAGUAGAGGACAAGUCGAUUGUGAUGGCCGUGUAAUGUAGAGGACGAAGGAGGCCACCUGCCACCUGAAUUAGGUGCUGCAGGAGAGGCAAGUGUCUUCUGCGAUUCUACUUUAAAUUCCUUUUCUAGAGCCCUUGGUGAUCCCAGUUCCUGACACAAACCAAAGGCUUUUUAAUCACCAGGUCAAGUGAGACCAGGUAUGUGGAAGAGACUUCUAAACAGAAAAGCCCUUAGCUUUUUCUAUUCCCAAAUUGAAUGAGGAAGUACACUUUCUCAAGGACAAGGAGAUCUCUGUAACUUUGACUCAUCUACCCCAGCCUUCGUCUACUCAGUUCUUUCAAGCUCCUGUCUAGAGGGCUGGCACGGGGACUGGGUUUUCCCAGUUUUGGGCAUCCACCUCGCUUGAUGGGAAGACAACCCCACUCACAGGCACCAAGGAGAGAAAUGGACAAAUGAAGGGAAAGUGACCAAAAUGCCGAGGGAAAAGACAACAGUGUAGCUAAACCAACAAGAAACAGGAGUCAAGAAAAAUUAACAACAAAAUGUAUUUAAAAACAGACUUCUCCAGUUGGUAUUUUGAAUGAAAUAGCUACCAAUUAACUCCAACCCCUUACAUUGUGUCUUUUGCUCCUGGAGUCCUCUUGUAGCUUUAAUUCUUGAAACUCGGGUGUCAGCACCAGACAUUAAAUCCCCUAAGGGAGAGGUAUUAUUAAACCUUUUGCUGGUCACUCUUUUCUGAACAAAAUAGGACAAAUUCCUAAGCCCUCUUAUUCAUUCAUGACGAUCAUUAGACGAAAAAAUUAAGCCAAACUUGCAUAUUGAAAAACAAAACUCAAAAAAAGAAAAAUCUUGCAGAUAAUAAAUAUCGCUGAUUCACUUAUUUUAAA